Molecule: long non-coding RNA, 2307 nt
Organism: Leopardus geoffroyi (Geoffroy's cat)
Lineage: Eukaryota; Metazoa; Chordata; Mammalia; Carnivora; Felidae
Exons: 4
Source: RefSeq, a predicted model, not a curated record
UCGAUCAAUACCCUGCAAAGUACAUGCUUCUAGGGAAACAAACAAUAGGCCUGGUCAAUUUUUCAACAGGUUUUGUAAUCCAGAAAAGGCAACACGUUUGUUGGCUUAAGCGAUAGGAAAUGGAGGAAGAAGCCCUGAAAAAAAGCAGUAAAAUCUAUGAGGGAAGUGCUCGACGGGCCAUUUAGAAGAGGACACAGCAGCAGAAUCAACUGUUGCAGAGGAGUGAAACGUUGAAAUCAGGCCACUGCACUUGGCAGGUUCAGGGAAGUAGAGGGGCAGAAUUCUAAUUGCAGCAGUGAAUUGAGAAGUGAAUGAACGAUAAGAAAGUACAGGGAGUAGCGAGUAUUUUUUGAAGCGAACACGUUGUGAAGUAAAGGAAGGAAAAAGGAUGUUAGGCUGAUUUUCAGGAAGAAGGGAAGUUCUUUUAAUGUCCUUCUUUUCUUUUCUUUCUUUUUUAGUCCAUAGACACAAGAGAAAGAGCCACUGGGGCAGGAGAGAUUGAAGAUAAAAGGAAGGAGUACUUGAUAAGGCUAAGUCCCAGAGGAGGGCAGCAGGGACAGGAUCCAGAGCAGAGGGGGUCCCAGCUCACUCUGCACAGGAGGAAGUACUCCUCCGAGGACCGUUCAACAAAGAUGGUGGUCAAGAUGCACGAGAACUGAGAGAGAAGUGUGGACUUUAUGCAGGAUGGUUUCCCUUUCUCUGCGGAGGAGGGGCAGGCCACCUGCUGAUGGCGAGAAGGACGGUGACAGGGUCUGUGUGGUGAACUGCAGAGGCCGCUUUGGGGCGUGUGAAAGGACACUGGAGCUGUCACGCUUGGCCAACAGCAGGUGACAAAAAACCUUGCUCAAACUGCCUGGGACGAAAAAGGAACUCCUGGUUCAUGUAGUGAAAAGUCCAAGGCCUGAGCGGCACCUAGGAGUUCGAACAAUGCCAUCAGAACUUGGUUUCUUUCCCUCCCUCUGCUAACGUUGGCUCCAAUUCUCGGACACCGCUGCCCAGUCCCUGCCAAGGGAAAAAGGAGCCGUUUUCCUUCCGGAGGAGGGCGUGCCCAAGCGCUGACAAGGAGCUGGACCAGACCAAUUUGGGUCUUAAACUCAUCCUCCAACCAAUCACCAAGGCCCAGAUUUGGAGUACUCUGAUUGGCUGGCCCCAGGACAUGUGAUCGCCUCUGACCCAAUCACUGCAGCAGGGGGAUUUCAGCGCGCUGAAGAGCCCGCCCUGCGGACGGUGCGGGGACGGGUUCUAACCCUAUUUCCCCGAAGGCGGAGGGAAGGACGUGUAGUGCCAACCCCAGGCAUUGGUUUAGGACGAGGAGGGCUCGUUAUGUUCUUCGUCAGGUGGAAAGGGGAGCCUUCUGCUGCCCGAGCCAGGGAGGAACUUCGGAUGACUGGCCGUCUGAAACAGCCCCGCCGGCACCGAGAAGAGGAGACAGCAAAAUACGAAUAAAAGGAUUGUGAGGAGGGCCCCAAGAUGAAGAGGGAGGCACAAAGAGGCUGUGUAACGGGUCCAAAGCUCCCUGGAUGGUAAAUGGCAGGGCCAGGAUUCACCUCCAGGAAGUCUGCGUGUAGAGCUCUUGAUAUUUAUAUAUCGAACCCAACUGACAGGUGAGAAAUACGGAGGCUUUGGUCCGGCCAACGGCGAGCCACAGUGCAAUCAGCUUCCCUGGUGACGCAGACAGAGCACGACCACAUUCCCUUAAAACGUCGACUGUGGUAUUGCACCCACGUGUCAUGAAUACUCAUGCUUCUGAGCAGCACAGGACAGGGAGCAGGAUGCAGACGAUUUGGGGGAAGGCAUAUGAGUACAAGCUGCGUAUCUCUUAAAAGCAACCCACUGUUCGUUCAGAGCAGCCCUGCGGUCUUGGUCAUUUGGUGUCUUAGAACCUGACCCUCCGUGCAUCUUUUACCCCAAAGCAAAAGGGGCUGGUGGGACACAGAAGGGAAGCUGUAUGCCGGUAGGUGAAACUCUGGUCUCACUUAGCAAGCCUGCACAUCCCACGUUCUCAGUCUCCACGUGCAGGACGGUACCUUCGUCCAAGCUUCAACAGCCCUUGUGUCCUGAUGGGGGGCGUGGGAAGGCACAGCCCAGUCCUCUCCUCCUCCCCUCGACGCCCCGGCUCCUUGGUGGGAGAACACAUUCCACACGCUUCCUUGUGCCCCAAGUUUACCAGCGUCUGCCCAGGGCGUGGACCCGGUGGGCCAGCUGCCCUGUUGGGGGUCAGGCGUAAGGAAGCCCACUCUCCCACAGACAGAAGCCACAUUCUCCAGGAGAGGCUUUGUCUAUAAUAAAGGUAGUGUCCUGAUGUGC